AGAGUUUGAUCCUGGCUCAGGGUGAACGCUGGCGGCAGGCCUAACACAUGCAAGUCGAACGGCAGCACAGGGAGCUUGCUCCUGGGUGGCGAGUGGCGGACGGGUGAGGAAUACAUGGGAAUCUGCCCAAUCGUGGGGGAUAACGUAGGGAAACUUACGCUAAUACCGCAUACGACCUACGGGUGAAAGCGGCGGACCGCAAGGCGUCGCGCGAUUGGAUGAGCCCAUGUCGGAUUAGCUAGUUGGCGGGGUAAAGGCCCACCAAGGCGACGAUCCGUAGCUGGUCUGAGAGGAUGAUCAGCCACACUGGAACUGAGACACGGUCCAGACUCCUACGGGAGGCAGCAGUGGGGAAUAUUGGACAAUGGGCGCAAGCCUGAUCCAGCCAUGCCGCGUGAGUGAAGAAGGCCCUCGGGUU
This 418-nucleotide ribosomal RNA is filed under the name uncultured bacterium. RNAcentral describes it as "bacterial SSU rRNA". It matches the Rfam family "Bacterial small subunit ribosomal RNA", at positions 8 to 424 of the family's 1533-position model. The record is from RNAcentral.